UACAGAGGAGCCAAGCGUUGUCCGGAUUGACUGGGCGUAAAGCGCACGCAGGCGGUUGCGCGCGUGGGGGGUGAAAUCUGGCCGCUUAACGGCCAGGCGCCAUCCCAUACGGCGCGACUGGAGGGCUGCAGAGGUCGAUGGAAUUGCCGGUGUAGUGGUGAAAUGCGUAGAUAUAGGAAGGAAUACCAGUGGCGAAGGCGGCUCACUGGCCCGAUACUGACGCUGAGGCACGAAAGCGUGGGGAGCAAACAGG
Molecule: ribosomal RNA, 253 nt
Filed under: uncultured bacterium
Lineage: Bacteria
Description: partial 16S ribosomal RNA
Rfam family: Bacterial small subunit ribosomal RNA
Source: RNAcentral